Molecule: ribosomal RNA, 497 nt
Filed under: uncultured bacterium
Lineage: Bacteria
Description: partial 16S ribosomal RNA
Rfam family: Bacterial small subunit ribosomal RNA
Source: RNAcentral
GAUGAACGCUGGCGGCGUGCCUAAUACAUGCAAGUCGAGCGAACAGAUGAGGAGCUUGCUCCUCUGACGUUAGCGGCGGACGGGUGAGUAACACGUGGAUAACCUACCUAUAAGACUGGGAUAACUUCGGGAAACCGGAGCUAAUACCGGAUAAUAUAUUGAACCGCAUGGUUCAAUAGUGAAAGACGGUUUUGCUGUCACUUAUAGAUGGAUCCGCGCCGCAUUAGCUAGUUGGUAAGGUAACGGCUUACCAAGGCAACGAUGCGUAGCCGACCUGAGAGGGUGAUCGGCCACACUGGAACUGGGACACGGUCCAGACUCCUACGGGAGGCAGCAGUAGGGAAUCUUCCGCAAUGGGCGAAAGCCUGACGGAGCAACGCCGCGUGAGUGAUGAAGGUCUUCGGAUCGUAAAACUCUGUUAUUAGGGAAGAACAAAUGUGUAAGUAACUGUGCACGUCUUGACGGUACCUAAUCAGAAAGCCACGGCUAACUACGUG